Molecule: ribosomal RNA, 497 nt
Filed under: uncultured bacterium
Lineage: Bacteria
Description: partial 16S ribosomal RNA
Rfam family: Bacterial small subunit ribosomal RNA
Source: RNAcentral
GACGAACGCUGGCGGCGUGCCUAAUACAUGCAAGUAGAACGCUGAAGAGAGGAGCUUGCUCUUCUUGGAUGAGUUGCGAACGGGUGAGUAACGCGUAGGUAACCUGCCUUGUAGCGGGGGAUAACUAUUGGAAACGAUAGCUAAUACCGCAUAACAAUGGAUGACACAUGUCAUUUAUUUGAAAGGGGCAAUUGCUCCACUACAAGAUGGACCUGCGUUGUAUUAGCUAGUAGGUGAGGUAACGGCUCACCUAGGCGACGAUACAUAGCCGACCUGAGAGGGUGAUCGGCCACACUGGGACUGAGACACGGCCCAGACUCCUACGGGAGGCAGCAGUAGGGAAUCUUCGGCAAUGGGGGCAACCCUGACCGAGCAACGCCGCGUGAGUGAAGAAGGUUUUCGGAUCGUAAAGCUCUGUUGUAAGUCAAGAACGAGUGUGAGAGUGGAAAGUUCACACUGUGACGGUAGCUGACCAGAAAGGGACGGCUAACUACGUG